CCUACGGGUGGCAGCAGUGGGGAAUAUUGCACAAUGGGGGGAACCCUGAUGCAGCGACGCCGCGUGAGCGAAGAAGGUUUUCGAAUCGUAAAGCUCUGUCCUAUGGGAAGAUAAUGACGGUACCAUAGGAGGAAGCCCCGGCUAACUACGUGCCAGCAGCCGCGGUAAUACGUAGGGGGCUAGCGUUGUCCGGAAUCACUGGGCGUAAAGGGUUCGCAGGCGGAAAAGCAAGUCAGGUGUGAAAGGCGAGGGCUUAACCCUCGUAAGCAUUUGAAACUGUUUUUCUUGAGAUGUGGAGAGGUAAGUGGAAUUCCUAGUGUAGCGGUGAAAUGCGUAGAUAUUAGGAGGAAUACCGGUGGCGAAGGCGACUUACUGGACACAAACUGACGCUGAGGAACGAAAGCGUGGGGAGCAAACAGGAUUAGAUACCCUUGUAGUC
Molecule: ribosomal RNA, 439 nt
Filed under: uncultured Peptoniphilus sp.
Lineage: Bacteria; Bacillati; Bacillota; Tissierellia; Tissierellales; Peptoniphilaceae
Description: bacterial SSU rRNA
Rfam family: Bacterial small subunit ribosomal RNA
Source: RNAcentral